CCUACGGGGGGCAGCAGUGGGGGAUAUUGCACAAUGGGGGAAACCCUGAUGCAGCGACGCCGCGUGGGCGAAGAAGUAUUUCGGUAUGUAAAGCCCUAUCAGCAGGGAAGAAGAAAUGACGGUACCUGAGUAAGAAGCACCGGCUAAAUACGUGCCAGCAGCCGCGGUAAUACGUAUGGUGCAAGCGUUAUCCGGAUUUACUGGGUGUAAAGGGAGCGCAGGCGGCACGGCAAGCCUGAUGUGAAAGCCCGCGGCCCAACCGCGGGACUGCAUUGGGAACUACCGGGCUGGAGUGCCGGAGAGGUAGGCGGAAUUCCUAGUGUAGCGGUGAAAUGCGUAGAUAUUAGGAGGAACACCAGUGGCGAAGGCGGCCUACUGGACGGUGACUGACGCUGAGGCUCGAAAGCGUGGGGAGCAAACAGGAUUAGAUACCCGGGUA
RNAcentral lists this ribosomal RNA (439 nucleotides) under uncultured bacterium. Its description in RNAcentral is "bacterial SSU rRNA". It matches the Rfam family "Bacterial small subunit ribosomal RNA", at positions 338 to 792 of the family's 1533-position model. The record is from RNAcentral.